UUAGAUGGUUGGUGUGUCACUCUGAGCAGACGACUCUGUGAGCAAAGUUGCUUUGAUGCUCUGCAGCCUUGGCCCUGGUGACUGGAAUAGGGGCACCCGUGUCACCAGGAGAAGCUGGGAAUCCAGGGCCCUAUAUACCCAGACCCGUGCACCCAGUCAGCAAUUAAACCACAGGCAACUCAGUGUUUGCAUGCCCUGCGGUUGGAGAAAAUGUGAAGGAGAACAUUCUGCGCCCAGGAUUUCUCUCAGGCAGGCUGGAGACCCGACAGGAGCCCGGCCCACCUUCAACGUGUUCAGAACACUCCUGUGAGUUCCCCAUUCGCCAAAGUUCUUCAACGAAACCUGUUCUAUAAUAGAGGGUCGAGCACUGAUCUGUGAAUACCCACCUCCAAACACCCUCCCGGUACCCUGGAGACCUGCGGUUCUCGCCCUGCCCAUCGAUCCUGGGGCUGUCUGGAGGCCGGGGUUCAGAAAGGUAUAGCACUGUGAACCCCAACCCCCGGGGCAGAGCAGAUCUUGAAAUUCAAAGUAGAGCGUCUGCUGAAUGCAGGUCACGUUGGUGCCAUUGCAAAAUUGCAGAAUUGCAGUUUAGACCAUUAGAAGCUGGGGACCAUCUGUAUAUAGACAGUGGCCCCAGACUCUACCAAGGGGACUAACUCUUUGACUCCUGGGGAAAUUCAAGGGUGGGGUGAGAGAGAGGCCAUCUUCCACACCCAGUGUCCAUGACAGAAGAGGCUGAAUGAGCUUCAUCAAUGAUCGGUGGCAGAUGGUGCUGGGGUUAGGAGGGACGGUGCUUUGU
Molecule: non-coding RNA, 799 nt
Organism: Ictidomys tridecemlineatus (thirteen-lined ground squirrel)
Lineage: Eukaryota; Metazoa; Chordata; Mammalia; Rodentia; Sciuridae
Source: RefSeq, a predicted model, not a curated record